This 254-nucleotide ribosomal RNA is filed under the name uncultured bacterium. Its description in RNAcentral is "partial 16S ribosomal RNA". It matches the Rfam family "Bacterial small subunit ribosomal RNA", at positions 524 to 776 of the family's 1533-position model. The record is from RNAcentral.
UACGUAGGGGGCUAGCGUUGUCCGGAAUCAUUGGGCGUAAAGCGCGUGUAGGCGGUUCGGUAAGUCCGCUGUGAAAGUCGGGGGCUCAACCCGUCGGAUGCCGGUGGAUACUGUCGGGCUUGAGUACGGAAGAGGCGAGUGGAAUUCCUGGUGUAGCGGUGAAAUGCGCAGAUAUCAGGAGGAACACCAAUUGCGAAGGCAGCUCGCUGGGACGUUACUGACGCUGAGACGCGAAAGCGUGGGGAGCAAACAGG